CAUGGUCAUGAGUAAAGCGCGAAACAAAAUGAAUUAAAAUAAGUCAACUGAAUGCAUGGCCAAGAUUAGAUCGUGUGAGCCUCAUCCAAGGGUCUAGGUUCAACCACGUGGGGAUGGUGGUGGAAACCACCAUCUUCUCCGGUGGACCAACUAAUUCCGACCACCAGUUGCAGGUUUUUGAACCUCAACCAAAACACACGAGCCAGGUACCAAAAUGGAGUUGGGGUGAUGCA
This 233-nucleotide long non-coding RNA is filed under the name Lathyrus oleraceus (garden pea). Its description in RNAcentral is "Pisum sativum (pea) long non-coding RNA (PSAT_LNC032666)". Lineage: Eukaryota; Viridiplantae; Streptophyta; Magnoliopsida; Fabales; Fabaceae. The record is from RNAcentral.